Long non-coding RNA from Diceros bicornis minor, 2445 nucleotides. RefSeq lists it as uncharacterized. The transcript has 3 exons. NCBI's taxonomy places the organism in Eukaryota, Metazoa, Chordata, Mammalia, Perissodactyla, Rhinocerotidae. The record is from RefSeq and is a predicted model, not a curated record.
UUGACUUUCAGAAGGCCUGCUUCUGUCUCUCCUGCUCUCCCACCCUGUCUCUUUCACUCUCUCCCGUCUUUGCCUCUCUCUCCUGCCAUCUCGACUUUUAUAAACGAGGACCUUUCUUGAGCGAUAGGAUCCAUUUCUUCCAGUGAACAGUUGCCAGUGGGAGUUUGUCUUGUUGAGGGUUUUAUACCAGCGGCAUUUACAGCCCGGGUGUGGAUUUCGGAGUUUACACACGGUCCUUUAAUGCUUUUCAAGAUAGGGUUUGCGUCUUGUGUUGAGGGUAAGAGCGUAAAUGUUUCAACCUUCCCUUGUUCUUGAAAUGAUUCUGGGUGAUUUGGUGAUUCAUUUGUGUGUUCUUGGCUCUCUACACUGGUGGUCAAACUCCUGAGAAAUAUUAAACAACAACCAAAAAAACAGAUAAAUAAAAAAGACCUUUAGAUAUACAGCUAAAGGAUGAUCUGUUGUUCUUUAAAAUAGUUUAAUUCCAUGUUUCUUUAUUAAACAAGCAUUUAUUUUAGGUGCAUGACAUGCCAGGCACUGGGCUAGAUGCCCAGGAUUCAGAGUUGGAGAAGAUCUGGCCUCUGUUUUGAAUCUGUUCAGAGUUUGCUAAUUUCACAACUUAGAGGUCACAGCUACUCCGGAGCUACAGAAAGGACAGAGCUUUAGAAAAUGUGUGAAUUCUGUGAGACACUUAAUGCAAGAUUUUAUACGCAUGUGCGUUUUUCUGGGAAGAGGAUUCAUAACUUCCAUUGGAUUCUUAAAUCAUUCAUGAACAAAAAUGCUUUAGAACCAGGGCCUCUGCAAUUGCAGCAGAAGUUUAGAUGACCUACCCCUGGUUAUCCACAAGUAGGAUCUUCCCUCCUUGCUCAGCCCUGGUGGGUUAUCUGCCUUUGGGGCCUGGUCAACUGGCUUUUAAGUCUAUCUUGUGAGAGUAGACUUCUAAAAACUGGAUCAAUGUCUUUGUCAUAUCUGUACUCCAACACAGUCUCAUAUACAAGUUUUUACAUUUUCUUUAGCUUUUAGCUCCUGAAUCACAACUAAUAGGAAGUCUAUGAAAACUGCAUUGAUUAAUUAUGUUCCGACCUUGUCACCCAAUUCUCUAUUCAGCCCUUGCCUGGCUCCCAUUCUGCUCCAUCUCUGGCCACUGUGAAACAUUCUGCCUCUCCUGAGGCAGGGUGAGAAUAAAGAACAUUCCUUAGUUGGGGUCUGUGCACACACACAUGCUUACUCUGAAAGUUCCCUAACACUCGUGGUGCUAACGAUUUGUUCCUUAACUAUCAUGUGGACAGAGGUGUUUGGACACCAUAUUAAUAAUAGCUCUUAGUAUGUAUGUGGUGCAUUCCAUUUUCAAAGGCAUUUAUAAACAUUUCAAGAUGAAAGCGUACACCACCCUUCUUGGGAAAAAGGGAAUGUUAAUCAUCACUGUGUUCAUUCGUUUGGAGAGGAUCACAGAAUCUGAGAGGUGAAAGGGACAUCAGAGGUCACUGGUGCAACUUUCAGUCCCUAGAGGAAUUCUCUUUCCCUUGAAGCCCACCAAGGUGUACAGAAAUGCAACUGAUUUUUGUAUGUUGAACAAAGAAUCCUAAAAUUUAUAUGGAACAACAAAAGACCCCGAAUAGCUAAAGGAAUCCUGAGAAAAAAGAACAAAGCUGGAGGUAUCACACUCCCUGAUUUCAAAAUAUACUACAAAGCUAUAGUAACCAAAACAGCAUGGUACUGGCACAAAAACAGACACACAGAUCAAUGGAAUAGAAUCGAAAGCCCAGAAAUAAACCCACACAUCUAUGGACAGCUAAUCUUUGACAAAGGAGCCAAGAACAUACAAUGGGGAAAAGAAAGUCUCUUCAACAAAUGGUGUUGGGAAAACUGGAUAGCCAUAUGCAAAAAAAUGAAAGUAGACCCUUACCUUACACCAUACACAAAAAUUAACUCCAAAUGGAUUAAAGACUUGAAUGUAAGACCUGAAACUAUGAAACUUCUAGAAGAAAACAUAGGCAGUACACUCUUCGACAUCGGUCUUAGCAACAUCUUUUCAAACACCACGUCUGACCGGGCAAGAGAAACAAUAGAAAAAAUAAACAAAUGGGACUACAUCAAACUAAAAAUCUUCUGCACAGCAAAGGAAACCAUCAACAAAACGAAAAGACAACCUAACAAUUGGGAGAAGAUAUUUGCAAACCAUACUUCUGAUAAGGGCUUAAUCUCCAAAAUAUAUAAAGAACUCAUGCAUCUCAACAACAAAAAAACUACCAACCCAAUUAAAAAAUGGGCAAAAGACCUGAACAGACAUUUCUCCAAAGAAGAUAUACAGAUGGCCAACAGACACAUGAAAAGAUGUUCAAAAAUCAUUAACUAUCAGGGAAAUGCAAAUCAAAACUAUAAUGAGAUAUCACCUCACGCCCGUCAGAAUGGCUAUAAUUAACAAGACAGGAAACAACAUGUGUUGGA